GACGAACGCUGGCGGCGUGCUUAACACAUGCAAGUCGAACGGGCCUUGUCCCCUUUUUUUUGGGGGUGGGGUUAGUGGCGAACGGGUGAGUAACACGUGAGUAACCUGCCCCUCACUUCUGGAUAACCGCUUGAAAGGGUGGCUAAUACGGGGUGUUCUGGCCUGCUCGCAUGGGUGGGUUUGGAAAGAUUCGACCGGUUUUGGUUGUUUUGGUGGGGGAUGGGCUCGCGGCCUAUCAGCUUGUUGGUGGGUGAUGGCCUGCCAAGGCUUUGACGGGUAGCCGGCCUGAGAGGGUGGGCGGUCACACUGGGACUGAGACACGGCCCAGACCCCUACGGGAGGCAGCAGUGGGGAAUAUUGCACAAUGGGCGCAAGCCUGAUGCAGCGACGCCGCGUGAGGGAUGGAGGCCUUCGGGUUGUGAACCUCUUUCGCCAGUGAAGAAGGUCCUGCUCUUUGUGGUGGGGUUGACGGUAGCUGGGUUAAUGAAGCGCCGGCUAACUACGUG
Molecule: ribosomal RNA, 506 nt
Filed under: uncultured bacterium
Lineage: Bacteria
Description: partial 16S ribosomal RNA
Rfam family: Bacterial small subunit ribosomal RNA
Source: RNAcentral